GACGAACGCUGGCGGCGUGCUUAACACAUGCAAGUCGAACGAAGAGCGAUGGAAGCUUGCUUCUAUCAAUCUUAGUGGCGAACGGGUGAGUAACGCGUAAUCAACCUGCCCUUCAGAGGGGGACAACAGUUGGAAACGACUGCUAAUACCGCAUACGAUCUGACCUCGGCAUCGAGGAUAGAUGAAAGGUGGCCUCUACAUGUAAGCUAUCACUGAAGGAGGGGAUUGCGUCUGAUUAGCUAGUUGGAGGGGUAACGGCCCACCAAGGCGAUGAUCAGUAGCCGGUCUGAGAGGAUGAACGGCCACAUUGGGGCUGAGACACGGCCCAGACUCCUACGGGAGGCAGCAGUGGGGAAUCUUCCGCAAUGGACGAAAGUCUGACGGAGCAACGCCGCGUGAGUGAUGACGGCCUUCGGGUUGUAAAGCUCUGUUAAUCGGGACGAAAGGCCUUUUUGCGAAUAGUGAGAAGGAUUGACGGUACCGGAAUAGAAAGCCACGGCUAACUACGUG
RNAcentral lists this ribosomal RNA (510 nucleotides) under uncultured bacterium. RNAcentral describes it as "partial 16S ribosomal RNA". It matches the Rfam family "Bacterial small subunit ribosomal RNA", at positions 28 to 507 of the family's 1533-position model. The record is from RNAcentral.